GAUGAACGCUGACAGAAUGCUUAACGCAUGCAAGUCUUUGGCGAAGCUGUGCUUGCACAGCCUAGCCAAGGCGGACGGGUGAGUAACGCGUAAGGAACUUGCCCUGCAGUCAGGGAUAACAGACGGAAACGACUGAUAAGACCUGGUAAAGUCAGACGGACUCAUGUCCAGCCUGAUGAAAAGAGAUGCUGCAGGAGAGCCUUGCGUCCUAUUAGCUUGUUGGUGGGGUAACGGCCCACCAAGGCGAUGAUAGGUAGCCGGCCUGAGAGGGGGGACGGCCACAAGGGGACUGAGAUACGGCACUUACUCAUACGGGAGGCAGCAGUGGGGAAUAUUGGACAAUGGGGGCAACCCUGAUCCAGCAAUUCUGUGUGCACGAUGAAGGUUUUCGGAUUGUAAAGUGCUUUCAGCAGGGAAGAAAAAAAUGACGGUACCUGCAGAAGAAGCGACGGCUAAAUACGUG
RNAcentral lists this ribosomal RNA (463 nucleotides) under uncultured bacterium. Its description in RNAcentral is "partial 16S ribosomal RNA". It matches the Rfam family "Bacterial small subunit ribosomal RNA", at positions 28 to 507 of the family's 1533-position model. The record is from RNAcentral.